This 305-nucleotide ribosomal RNA is filed under the name uncultured bacterium. Its description in RNAcentral is "bacterial SSU rRNA". It matches the Rfam family "Bacterial small subunit ribosomal RNA", at positions 334 to 655 of the family's 1533-position model. The record is from RNAcentral.
AGGCCCUACGGGGCGCAGCAGUGGGGAAUAUUGCACAAUGGGGGAAACCCUGAUGCAGCGACGCCGCGUGAGUGAAGAAGUAUUUCGGUAUGUAAAGCUCUAUCAGCAGGGAAGAAAAUGACGGUACCUGACUAAGAAGCCCCGGCUAACUACGUGCCAGCAGCCGCGGUAAUACGUAGGGGGCAAGCGGUAUCCGGAUUUACUGGGUGUAAAGGGAGCGUAGGGGGCAUGGGAAGCCAGAAGUGAAAACCCAGGGCUCAACUCUGUGGAUUGCUGUUGGAACUAUCAAGCUAGAGUGCUGGAGG